This is a long non-coding RNA of Peromyscus eremicus (cactus mouse), 1059 nucleotides long. RefSeq lists it as uncharacterized. NCBI's taxonomy places the organism in Eukaryota, Metazoa, Chordata, Mammalia, Rodentia, Cricetidae. The record is from RefSeq and is a predicted model, not a curated record. The transcript is spliced from 3 exons.
GUCACGCCUACAAACCGGAACCAAGUGAGGAGAUAUUGGUGUAAUUAUUAUGGCCACUCCACGUAGCUAAAAGGAGAUUUAUUUAGUGGCGUAACUUACAAGUUAAGGGAUCGGUAGGUCGCGGGGUCUGGGGAAGGUGUAUCGCAGUCCAGCGGUGUUCUCUGGAGCUCUGCUUGGCCCACCUUCACCGUCCAAGGUCCGGGAACCAAGUGAGAGCACCGCCCAUCCAGAUCUCAGGUCUCCAGGCGCCUCCCUUGGCCCCGCCUUGUAGGCGUGACGGUUGCCGAAGUCUCCAUGGGGGUUGAAACUUCAGAUCAAAGCUGGAAUGGCUACCCACUACAGGUGACUCCUGAGAAAGGGUCAUUCAUCCCCCAAAGGGGUUGAGAACCACUGACCUAGCCUAGAGCAUUCAUCUCUAUUGACGAGUUUCACAGUACUGGAAGAUAUAUCUAUGCUAUCAAAGGAGAAAGGGCUCAGGGAACUAUGCAGAAGAGGAGUUGGAAAGAAUACAAGAGUCAGAGAGGAUAGAGACAGACCUUCUAAACACAGAAUGGCUGAGGCGCACAUGAACUCAGAGAGCCUGUGGCAGCAUGUACAAGGCCUGCACAGGUCGACACCAGAUAGGAUCCUAGAGCUGAGAGAAGAGGACACAUGCCGCCACCCCUAACCCAGAAGUUAUCUCCAGUUGACAAUUACUUAAAAAUGAAAAAAAUAGUUUUCCUCAAUAGAGUCUCCCUGGGGAAACAAGGGUAGGCUCCAUGUCCAGCAGUAGACGAUCAACACAAAAUAAUUUUAGUGCCAUCUUUGCGGUUUCUUAGUUUCAUAGUGUUGUGUAAGGGCUUUUUUUUUUUUAACCUUUUAGUUCCUUUGUGUAUAUAUUUUGGCCUCCAUUUUUGUGUUGUUAUGGGAUUCCUAUGUUUUCUGAACUUGUGUGACCCUAUAUCUAUAUGUAAUUCUUUUCCUUUUUCUUUGGCCUCUUUUUGUUUGUUUGUUUGUUUGUUUGUUUUGUCCUGUUCUGAUUUGCUUGUUUUGUUUUAUCUUAUUUUAUUUCCUUAUUAU